RNAcentral lists this ribosomal RNA (1492 nucleotides) under Ruminococcus sp. RNAcentral describes it as "bacterial SSU rRNA". It matches the Rfam family "Bacterial small subunit ribosomal RNA". RNAcentral also lists the same sequence under 3 other names. Lineage: Bacteria; Bacillati; Bacillota; Clostridia; Eubacteriales; Oscillospiraceae. The record is from RNAcentral.
AGAGUUUGAUCCUGGCUCAGGACGAACGCUGGCGGCACGCUUAACACAUGCAAGUCGAACGAGAGAAGAGAAGCUUGCUUUUCUGAUCUAGUGGCGGACGGGUGAGUAACACGUGAGCAAUCUGCCUUUCAGAGGGGGAUACCGAUUGGAAACGAUCGUUAAUACCGCAUAACAUAAUUGAACCGCAUGAUUUGAUUAUCAAAGAUUUAUCGCUGAAAGAUGAGCUCGCGUCUGAUUAGCUAGUUGGUAAGGUAACGGCUUACCAAGGCGACGAUCAGUAGCCGGACUGAGAGGUUGAUCGGCCACAUUGGGACUGAGACACGGCCCAGACUCCUACGGGAGGCAGCAGUGGGGAAUAUUGCACAAUGGAGGAAACUCUGAUGCAGCGAUGCCGCGUGAGGGAAGAAGGUUUUAGGAUUGUAAACCUCUGUCUUCAGGGACGAAAAAAGACGGUACCUGAGGAGGAAGCUCCGGCUAACUACGUGCCAGCAGCCGCGGUAAUACGUAGGGAGCGAGCGUUGUCCGGAAUUACUGGGUGUAAAGGGAGCGUAGGCGGGAUCGCAAGUCAGAUGUGAAAACUAUGGGCUUAACCCAUAAACUGCAUUUGAAACUGUGGUUCUUGAGUGAAGUAGAGGUAAGCGGAAUUCCUAGUGUAGCGGUGAAAUGCGUAGAUAUUAGGAGGAACAUCAGUGGCGAAGGCGGCUUACUGGGCUUUAACUGACGCUGAGGCUCGAAAGCGUGGGGAGCAAACAGGAUUAGAUACCCUGGUAGUCCACGCCGUAAACGAUGAUUACUAGGUGUGGGGGGACUGACCCCUUCCGUGCCGCAGCAAACGCAAUAAGUAAUCCACCUGGGGAGUACGACCGCAAGGUUGAAACUCAAAGGAAUUGACGGGGGCCCGCACAAGCAGUGGAGUAUGUGGAUUAAUUCGAAGCAACGCGAAGAACCUUACCAGGUCUUGACAUCGUAUGCAUAGCUCAGAGAUGAGUGAAAUCUCUUCGGAGACAUAUAGACAGGUGGUGCAUGGUUGUCGUCAGCUCGUGUCGUGAGAUGUUGGGUUAAGUCCCGCAACGAGCGCAACCCUUACUGUUAGUUGCUACGCAAGAGCACUCUAGCAGGACUGCCGUUGACAAAACGGAGGAAGGUGGGGAUGACGUCAAAUCAUCAUGCCCCUUAUGACCUGGGCCUCACACGUACUACAAUGGCUGUCAACAGAGGGAUGCAAAGCCGCGAGGUGGAGCGAACCCCUAAAAGCAGUCUUAGUUCGGAUUGUAGGCUGCAACCCGCCUACAUGAAGUCGGAAUUGCUAGUAAUCGCAGAUCAGCAUGCUGCGGUGAAUACGUUCCCGGGCCUUGUACACACCGCCCGUCACGCCAUGGGAGUCGGUAACACCCGAAGCCUGUAGUCUAACCGCAAGGAGGACGCAGUCGAAGGUGGGAUUGAUGACUGGGGUGAAGUCGUAACAAGGUAGCCGUAUCGGAAGGUGCGGCUG